Molecule: long non-coding RNA, 312 nt
Filed under: Zonotrichia albicollis (white-throated sparrow)
Lineage: Eukaryota; Metazoa; Chordata; Aves; Passeriformes; Passerellidae
Description: lncRNA (ENSZALG00000012063.1)
Source: RNAcentral
UCUGAACAGCCUGCGGAUGGCGGAGUCAAAACAUCAGUUCCACACGAGGGUGGUUCCAUCCUCAUCCUCCCUUCUUGCCCCCCCCUCCCCCUUGCCAAGGGGAAGAAGACCGGAAGAGAGGGAAGGCUCUGCAGCUGUAUUUUGGAGCGCGCUCAUCCCGUGUUAUGGCUUUGAAACCAGCAGAGCUGUGAUGAGUUCAACAAGCUGAAUUAGAAACCCAGAGGCACAAAAUGGAACAAACAGGUGAGUGUCACUAAUUCAGGGGAGCUUUAAAGAUAUUUUCCUUUUAGAUUCUCCUGGGCUUGCUUCACC